CGUAGGGUGCGAGCGUUAAUCGGAAUUGCUGGGCGUAAAGCGUGCGCAGGCGGUUAUGAAAGACAGGCGUGAAAUCCCCGGGCUUAACCUGGGAACUGCGUUUGUGACUCCAUGACUCGAGUACGGCAGAGGGGGGUGGAAUUCCACGUGUAGCAGUGAAAUGCGUAGAGAUGUGGAGGAACACCGAUGGCGAAGGCAGCCCCCUGGGCCAGUACUGACGCUCAUGCACGAAAGCGUGGGGAGCAAACAGGAUUAGAUACCCUGGUAGUCCACGCCCUAAACGAUGUCAACUAGUUGUUGGUAGGGUAAAACCUAUUAGUAACGGAGCUAACGCGUGAAGUUGACCGCCUGGGGAGUACGGCCGCAAGGUUA
Molecule: ribosomal RNA, 372 nt
Filed under: uncultured organism
Description: bacterial SSU rRNA
Rfam family: Bacterial small subunit ribosomal RNA
Source: RNAcentral